This 3347-nucleotide long non-coding RNA is filed under the name Sus scrofa (pig). RNAcentral describes it as "lncRNA (ENSSSCG00025066625.1)". The record is from RNAcentral. Lineage: Eukaryota; Metazoa; Chordata; Mammalia; Artiodactyla; Suidae.
UGUGGUAUUUCUUUUUUGUCUUUUAUUAAUUUCCCCUUUGAGCCCAGCAUCUUAAAAAAAAAAAAAAAUUCUUUAUGGAAAGUUGUCCUGUUCCUGCUUGCAUUGGGGGUAGAUGCAAAGGUAAUUGAAACUUCAUUUUUUGGUUUCCAAGCACACACAUAAAUAGCUGUAUAGAAAUUGUAAUUAGAUGAUAAUAGAACUUUGAGUGCUUUUAUAAGAGCAGUUUUGUCAGGAAACAUGUAAUCCUGAAGUAAAGGCAGUUAGAUUUGUUUUAAUAAGUAGGUUUGUUUUUUUGUUUUGUUGGUAAGCAUUUUUCAGAUUUCUGGAGAGAAGAAUGUGAUGAAUAGUUGGAAAGUGGUGAAGAUUUGGACUUUUGGGAUUUGAUCUGUCCUUUUAUUUUUUAAUUUAUUACUUAUUUAUUUUUGGCCGCGCCUGUUGGAAAUUAAGAUAACUCUGGCUCGGGCCAUCCGUGUGGGAAAGUGCGACCCGUGGGCAGGGAGACAUCUCGACAAGGCUCUUUACUUGUGCAGAAGGGCGCGGGUCCUCCAAAAAGCACGCGCCGAACAAAGGACCCUCCCCCGUUUAUCCCCAAGGCAGGUGAUGUACCUGUCCCCUUCCAUGGGUCGGGUCAGGGCACACCUUCUUCCUGGUCGGCUGAUCGAAACAAACUGUUGCUGGGAGAAGAGGGAAAGAGGAAGGGAGUGGAAGGGGGUCGCAGGGCGUUUCAGCCGAAACCGGAGCCAAAUGGAGUCACCAAGAUUUCCUUUGAUAGAAGAGACAUGAUGUCACUUUCCACAGCCCUACAGCAUGUGGACGUUCCCAGGGAUCCAACCCGAGCCACGGCAGUGACCCCAGCCGCUACAGUGACAGCGCCAGAUCCUUAACUUGCUCCGCCGCAAGGGAACUCCUGAUCUAUCCUUUCAGACUCGUAUGGGCUACUUAGUUGUCCAAAUGGAGAACUGACCUCUGGGAUCUGCUCCACCGUCACAGAGGAAAACAUGGGUUUUGGUCUUAGCGCCUCGGGACGCAGCUUUGCCUGGGCCCGAUGCCUGAUGGAGAACAUUUGGUCAGCAUGUGUGCCCUGACAUCAAAGGACGCAGUUCCACCAGUCUUGUUCUGGACAGGUUUGGUGGCCUAUGGCUUGGUCCCAGAACUUCCUGCCUGACCGAAAGCGGAUGAGAAGGUCAGAGCAGGAGAGCAGCAGAGUCAGCGCCUCUGGUCUGGCAUUUCUGGUCCCCCCUCCAGCCAGGGGAAGUGAUAGCUUUCUCUAUUACCCUGAGUGGGUUGCUUGCUCUGGGUGAUUCUGGUUCAGACUGAAUCAGAGGCUUGGCCUAGAAUUGCCUUGCCUCCCUUUGGCUCUUUGGAUGGGGCGAGAUUUGGUAUCAACCCUAAGAGUCUUACAGCGCGUUCUCUCCCAGUUCUUCCUCUUGCAAAUCCAAAUACCCUAGCCACUAAGAGAGUGAUUUCUGCAAUGCUGACAGACCACAUAUGCCUUCUGCAUAAGGAGCCUGGGCCAAGACAGGCUCCCUCUAUUGCCUGUGUUUCCAGGACUUGGAUCUGCCUCCUAAAAGACAACAAUCUGAUUAGAGUAACAUGAGCAAUUUUCCUUGAGAGGUUUCCUAGUUCCAUGAUUUGUAAUAUGUUUUUUAAUCUCAUUUUUCUUCUCUGCAUAAUGAAUCUGUCUAGUGUGGUGGCUGAAAAUCCAGACGCUUGUCCAUUUGCCUGAGUUUAGAACCUGGCUCUGCCGUGUGGGAGCUGUGUGACCUUGUGCAAGUUACCCUACCUCUCUGUGCCUCAGGUUCUUCCUCUAUAAAAUGGUGAUAACAGCCCCUGCCUUACAGGAUUGUUGUAAAGACUAUACAAGAUAGUCUACCCAGGCCUGGUAUAUAGUACGUGCUCAGUAAGUGCUCGUAUUAUUUGUUCAUAAAUAAUCAUGAACUUUAGUAAUGCAUUUUAUCGAGGGAGCCUUUGGAAUAUGUCACAUGACAGAAUUGCAAACCUGUUAGGUGUCUUUGGUAACAUUUCAAACAAAUGACUUUUACAAGCAUACAAAGGGAUGUGAUCGAGGACUUGAGAGGCUUGCCCUAGAAGAGAUUAUAAUCGGGUAGAAAGAGCUAGAAAAAUGAAACAAAAGCAAAGGAAUAUAACAAACACCGACCCCUGGAGGACUGAUGGUGCUGAUAUUUGCCAGUGCAACUUGAGGCAGCGGUUCUGGGAAGCCUGGGCACGAUAAAGGGUAACAGCUUUCGGAUGAGGGGGCCCCCUUCCCGAGAGGGGGGAUUCGGUACGUUCUUAGGUGAUCUUUUUGGGGUGGUUUGCUCAGCCCUUAGGUGUGUCUGCCUCUGAUCCCGGCCACUGCACUCUGGGCCACGUGAGGGCUGGAGGUGCCGGUCCCGGGAGCGGUAGACACCUCGCCCCCUACCUCGGAGCCGCCUCCCUUCCCGUCUGUGGAAUGUCGUCGGGUAGGUUUGUCCAGACCGGUGGCGGUUUGCGGGCCUUCUGCUUGUUUUCCAGUUAGCGGCGCAGGCCGGCGGGCCGGGCCGUCCUCAGCGCUUCCUGAUGGCUUUGCCUUCUGAUAGGGUGGGUUGGGAUGGGAACCAGAGCACAGAGGAAAGCGGUGGGUUUUGAGGUUAGGGUCACUGAUUUCAUUUACCCGUUUUCUCCCCCCANCCCCCCCCCCCCCCCCCCCCCCCCUUUUUUUUUUUUUUUUAAUCCCUGUUCCUUGUGGUUUGAGGCCUUGUUUUAAUAUCUGCGCAAAUUGGAGAAAGAGGGCUUUGUGUUGCAUGUAGCUGGAGUGGGGGAUGAACGGGUGCCUCAGUCGGGAUGUGUGUGUGUGUGUUCUUUAUUUUCCACUGGGACCUGGGGCUCCAGGGCUCCAGCUUGCCCCAUUCGGAACUAGUCCGGGCUCCUUAGGGCAUGAUUGUCUGUAAGGGGGAGGAGGCUUGGUCUAGGAUGUGCUCUUUCUUCACAUUCUGAAUUCCCGGCGGUGCUCAGUGUUAACCACCAGGGUGCUUAGGUUUCUGUGUUUCAUUAAUUUACCAUUAUGCUUAUUCUGAGGCACUCAACGAAAAUGUCUCUGAAUUCGGAAUCCUUUGGCUGAUCCUGACUUUCACGAAGCUCUUGCCUGCUGUUGCUUUUCCGUCUUGCUGUUAUUUCGGGAGGGACUAAGAGCUCUUCCGUCUCAGGAGUCAGCCUCGAUUCUCUUCCACCGCUCACAUCCGAAGGGGACUGAGGAGUUCUCUUGCGGCGCAGUGGGUUUAGGAUCUGCGGUUGUCAUUGCAGCAUCUUGGAUGGUUGCUGUGGCCCAGGUUCUGUCCCUGGCCUGGGACCUUCCAUGUUAUGGACAC